This 25-nucleotide non-coding RNA is filed under the name Mus musculus (house mouse). Lineage: Eukaryota; Metazoa; Chordata; Mammalia; Rodentia; Muridae. The record is from RNAcentral.
UGAACAGAGCCAGGGAAGAGCAGGG